GUAUUUUCUUCUUUCUUCUCCUUCUUGCUGUUUUUCAUUCUUCUAUUAUUAACUGAGAGACCCGAGAGGGAGAGAGACCAAAACCCAACAGAACCCAGAAACCCAUCUCGGCAGACCAAACCCCAACUCGGUUCUGCCAUACCACCGAAGCCAUAGAACCCAUAACACCGAGAACCCAGAUUUCCAGCAAAGAACCCCGGCAACCCAAACCCCAGCAGCCCGACAGUCCAGCCCAAUUCCAGCAACCGUAACCAGCCGAACCUCCGGCGUUUCGGUCUGGGCAACCGUGACCAGCCGAUUACCGGCAGCAACCCAAACAGUGAAGCCGACCCAGCAACCCAGAACCGGAACCUGCCAAGCCCAGCAAGAAUCCAAAGAACCCGUGAACUGAACCCAUAGUUCCGGCCGAAACCAGUGGCCGUCAGCCCAGUCUAUCCCGGCGACCCAACCAGUCAAUCCGUGAAGCCCGAACCCGACGGAACCAGUUCUGGCCGUGACCGGCGAACCCAGCCACCGUCGACGCAGUGACCGUGCGUGACCCAGACGGCAAACCCAAUGACCGUGACCAAACUCUUUUUCCAAAUCCUCCUUUUCUCCUUAUCUGGCCGAAUCAGAGCAAUGCGAGAGAUCAAGAGUGAGAUUUGGUGAGGGGCUGACCGGAUAUAGGAGAUCCAGCAUAGAAGGGAGAAAACCCAGUGAAGCCCGCGACCCAGACGGCCCAGCAAGCACGAGCCCGAAUUAUGAAGACCCGCAAACCGUGAACCUCGGUCCAAACAGACGACCCAGCUCGAACCCGAUUCAACCCAGCCCAAAACCGAGCCCAUUGAUCUAACCCGGAAACCCGACCCGCCGGUGACCCAUCUCCGGCAGACUUCCGGCGACUUUUCCGGCGACUUUCCGGUGAUUUUCCAACGACUUUCCGGUGACUUUUCCGGUGAAAUUUCCGUGACCGAACUCAUCAUUUUCACUAGAUUUUUCUAGUGAAAAUUAUUAUUUAAUAAAUCAAGAAGUGAUACAAGGAGAGUAAAAGCCCGAUCCCGAUAUUAGGGAAAGUCCAAGUUAUGAACAGAGAGACGUAGGUGGCCGGGAUGGGAUCUAGGAAUGCAUUAGGACAUUUCAUUUAUGUUACCCCAUUAAAUUUUCAGUUAUUGUAUUUUUACAAUUAAAUGACCGUUUCCGCAUUUAUUAAAAACUCUGAGAUUUUGAAACCAUUAUUAUUUUUAUUUAUUUAAAUCAGCAUACUAGUUAAGAUA
This is a long non-coding RNA of Alnus glutinosa, 1253 nucleotides long. RefSeq lists it as uncharacterized. The transcript is spliced from 2 exons. NCBI's taxonomy places the organism in Eukaryota, Viridiplantae, Streptophyta, Magnoliopsida, Fagales, Betulaceae. The record is from RefSeq and is a predicted model, not a curated record.